ACGGAGGGUGCAAGCGUUGCUCGGAAUCACUGGGCGUAAAGCGCACGCAGGCGGCCGAUUAAGUCGGGUGUGAAAGCCCGGGGCUCAACCCCGGAACUGCAUUCGAAACUGCUCGGCUUGAGUACGGGAGAGGGAAGCGGAAUUCCUGGUGUAGAGGUGAAAUUCGUAGAUAUCAGGAGGAACACCAGCGGCGAAAGCGGCUUCCUGGCCCGAUACUGACGCUCAUGUGCGAAAGCGUGGGGAGCAAACAGG
RNAcentral lists this ribosomal RNA (252 nucleotides) under uncultured bacterium. Its description in RNAcentral is "partial 16S ribosomal RNA". It matches the Rfam family "Bacterial small subunit ribosomal RNA", at positions 525 to 776 of the family's 1533-position model. The record is from RNAcentral.